ACUGGAAAUAGAAUCAUUAUUCAGGAUAACUGGACAUAUGUAGUGUGAACUAUUGGUACAAGUGUGUAAGUCACUCCAGGAAACCAGGGAGCCUGCUGUUGUGUUGUUUCAAAAGAUAAAUUAAAUCCUAUCGACUAGAAAAA
Long non-coding RNA from Haliotis rubra (blacklip abalone), 143 nucleotides. RefSeq lists it as uncharacterized. Lineage: Eukaryota; Metazoa; Mollusca; Gastropoda; Lepetellida; Haliotidae. The record is from RefSeq and is a predicted model, not a curated record. The transcript is spliced from 2 exons.